This is a long non-coding RNA of Strongylocentrotus purpuratus (purple sea urchin), 228 nucleotides long. RefSeq lists it as uncharacterized. The transcript has 3 exons. The record is from RefSeq and is a predicted model, not a curated record. Lineage: Eukaryota; Metazoa; Echinodermata; Echinoidea; Camarodonta; Strongylocentrotidae.
CAGCAUCCGCUACUUCCCGUGAAGCAACAACCAAUUCUAUAUUGGACUCGACCACACCAAAUCCCACUACAACUACAACAUCCACUACUUCUCGUGAAGCAACGACAAAUUCUUUAUUGGACUCGACCACACCAAAUCCCACUACACCUACAAAAUCAACUUCAACACAAUACACCACAACCAUGUCUACGGCGGGCUCAACCGCCUCACGUACUAUAACAGCUACUC